UCAGACUGAAAAUGAUCUCAGGUGUGACAAUGGUCUGAGGUCAGAUAACUGAGCCUAAAGAAAAACGGUGCGUUAAGCUUAUUGCCUGCUCAGCUGUUGGCAGAGUGAUAAAACCCAUGUUCCAACAAAA
This 130-nucleotide small nucleolar RNA is filed under the name Mola mola (ocean sunfish). RNAcentral's name for it is "Small nucleolar RNA ACA64 (ENSMMOG00000019223.1)". It matches the Rfam family "Small nucleolar RNA ACA64". The record is from Rfam by way of RNAcentral. Lineage: Eukaryota; Metazoa; Chordata; Actinopteri; Tetraodontiformes; Molidae.